GAUGAACGCUAGCGGCAGGCUUAAUACAUGCAAGUCGUGGGGCAGCAGGUUUGUAGCAAUACAGAUGCUGGCGACCGGCAAACGGGUGCGGAACACGUACAGAACCUUCCUUUGAGCGGGGAAUAGCCCAGAGAAAUUUGGAUUAAUACCCCCAUAGUAUAAUGAAGUGGCAUCACUUUAUUAUUAAAGAUUUAUCACUCGAAGAUGGCUGUGCGGCUGAUUAGGUAGUUGGCGGGUAAAGGCCCACCAAGCCUGCGAUCAGUAACUGGUGUGAGAGCACGACCAGUCACACGGGCACUGAGACACGGGCCCGACUCCUACGGGGAGGCAGCAGUAAGGAAUAUUGGUCAAUGGAGGCAACUCUGAACCAGCCAUGCCGCGUGGAGGAUGAAGGUCCUCUGGAUUGUAAACUUCUUUUAUAUGGGACGAAAAAAGGCUUUUCUAAGUCGUCUGACGGUACCAUAUGAAUAAGCACCGGCUAAACUCCCGUUGCCAGCAGCCGCGGU
This 506-nucleotide ribosomal RNA is filed under the name uncultured bacterium. Its description in RNAcentral is "bacterial SSU rRNA". It matches the Rfam family "Bacterial small subunit ribosomal RNA", at positions 28 to 521 of the family's 1533-position model. The record is from RNAcentral.